AAACCUUCGCGUCCUCCGAUUAAAUAUGCAAAGGGAAGAAAAAAGAAAGAUAGAGGUUUUUCACAAAAAACUAAGUACUCUUAAUUAUUUAGAAAAAGAGCAUUACAACACACAUAUUCUCUUAUAUUUUGGCCAUAGCCACUCCCACAAUUUAUAGGCCUAAGAUACAAUGAGUCUAGUCUACAUAACUUACCUACUAACUCACCUAUUAACAUGUAUAUUGA
This 224-nucleotide long non-coding RNA is filed under the name Ananas comosus (pineapple). Its description in RNAcentral is "long non-coding RNA (ACOM_LNC032995)". Lineage: Eukaryota; Viridiplantae; Streptophyta; Magnoliopsida; Poales; Bromeliaceae. The record is from RNAcentral.